Molecule: long non-coding RNA, 1742 nt
Organism: Bubalus bubalis (water buffalo)
Lineage: Eukaryota; Metazoa; Chordata; Mammalia; Artiodactyla; Bovidae
Exons: 3
Source: RefSeq, a predicted model, not a curated record
AGGCAGAAGAUUCUGCUGUGCAUGAGGCACACAGACCCAGUCUGCAUCCACUAUCGCCAUACUUUUCUGGGAGUAGCAUUGUUGUCCCAUGCUCCAACCAAAUGAGUGACAUGCAGGCAUGCACGCUAAGUCGCUUCAGUCAUGUUCGACUCUGCGACCCCGUAGACUGCAGCCUGUCAGACUCCUCUGACCAUGGCAUUCUCCCGGCAAGAAUACUGGAGUGGGUUGCCAUUCCCUUCUCCACAGGAUCUUCCUGAGCCGGGGAUCGAACCCACCUCUCCUGUGUUUUCUGCAUUGCAAGCAGAUUCUUUACUGCUGAGCCACCAGGGAAGCCCAAACAAGUGACAUGGGAUUUCAGUUCAGCAGUUAUCUUUUUCUGUAGCAAUUCCAGGGGCUAAGCCUUGUAACUCAAGGUCAGAAAGCUGUUCAAGUCUCUGAUGUCAAGGAGAGGUGGCAUCCUUUAGUCCAUGAGCCAUGGAAUUGGAGUCAGAUAUCCUGAAGUCAAAUCCCAGCUCAGCUGGAGGAAAAAACUCAGCAACUUGACUUGAUGUGUUUAAGGCAGUGAAUUACUAAGGAAUUCACACAACAGAGCUGCACAAAGAGAAGGCUGAGAGAGAGAACAUGAAUGGAAGACAGAAGAAUUAGCUGCUCCGCUGGACUCCCAGAAAGCAGCAGUCUCUAGCCCAACCCCUCCUCAUCCUGGCCCAGAGGUACAGACAGGGCUGUAGAUACCGAGGGGUGUGCCAAAACAUUUAACUGCACGCUAGCACAUAACAGAAGUUAUUGUUCGAACUGUUCAUACGUGUCAUUGAGAAACCACAUUCCUUGAAAAAAGCAUCAGAAAGUAACUUUAAAGUGGUCAGCUCUGGUCAACCACGGUGAGCAGUUCUGAUGAUACUUGCAUUGCCUGGAAUCUCACACCAGUCAGCAUCUCGGUUUGUCCACCUUGCCACCCUCCAAAAGCUCCUUGUUGUCAUUACAAAGACAGCAGCACAUUUUUCAGUAACACUUACUGUAUGCCAGGCACUGUUCUAGUCUUUUAUUUACACUGAUUAACUCAUUUUAAUCCUUCCAACAAACUUGUAAAAAGGUGCCAAUUUAAAUAUCGAAACUGAGGCUAGAAAAUCACUUGUCUUGCCCAAAGCCUCAUGACGGUUAAGUAGCAGAGCUGGGAUUCAAUCCAAGGCAGCUCGACUCCGGCUCAAUGCCUAUCCGGCUGUGAACCCCUGCCCUGGUCGCACUGCCUGAUACUGAAACCGCACACAAGCCCCUGUGUCCUUGUCUUCUGCACUAAGAGGCUGACUCAGAAGUUAACGAUUGGGAAAUGUGAAGAUGUAAAAACAAACAAUGGCUGCUGGGCUGGGGAACUGAAAACUAUUUAGACUCUGAAUUUGCCACCUGGCAGAAUCACCGAACUACCUUUUCCCUAAAAGAUAUGGAUAAACACUUGACGUGUAGGAAGCAGGCCCCCACCAGAUGAAAACUGCUGACCACACGAACACAGGCUCCAGACCAGUUGGAACCAUUAAGCUGAUGAUGCUGUUUCCUUCUCACCUCACCACCAAUCAGAAGAAUGUCCAUGAGCUGAUCGCAUCCUCUUUGAACCAUGACUAUACAACUCCUCACUACCCUCUCCAGGGCAGGGCAUGCAGACUUGAAGGCAUUAGCCCACUGUGGCCCCCGCUGCCUGGCAAAGCAAUAAAGCUUUUUCUUUCUAUUUCACCCAAAACUCUGUCUCCGAG